This is a long non-coding RNA of Bubalus bubalis (water buffalo), 540 nucleotides long. RefSeq lists it as uncharacterized. NCBI's taxonomy places the organism in Eukaryota, Metazoa, Chordata, Mammalia, Artiodactyla, Bovidae. The transcript has 3 exons. The record is from RefSeq and is a predicted model, not a curated record.
AAACAUUCUGCCCUGCCCUGCCCUGCCCUGCCCUGCCCUCCCCCGACCAAGCCUCCUUCCGUUCACCAGCAGGCUGGCGGCCUGGGCUGGUGGGCACUAACUCAGACUGACUUCACUUCAUUUUGGCCUUUUCCAGUUUCCUGCUGAGGUUUCUCUUCCUCUUUCCCAGGAGUCCCCACCUGCCCAACGGAAAGACCUGGGAAGGUGAUCCCAGGGUCCCAUAACUAAGGCCUGUGGACCCCAAUUGAGAGCCCCUCUUCCAAUUCCCUGCCAUGGGUCCUGGAAGUUGGCCGCCCUUGUUUCCCACUGAAGUCGGAAUCCUUUCUCCCCACCCAGCACCUGACAUGAAGAGGGUGCCUGGCGACUCUUUUAAAACACAUGGAUGGAUGGAGGAAUAAAUGAAUUAAGUCAACUUGCUUUUGAAUUCUACAGCAUUCGGGCUUUAAAUCUAAGCCCUGAUUUCCUGGCUAAGACGAAUACAUGAAAGCAGCCUCCUUUAAAAAUGAGAAGCAGGAGAAAUAAACAUAAAAGGAAAACCAA